AACGAACGCUGGCGGCAGGCUUGACACAUGCAAGUCGAGCGCCCCGCAAGGGGAGCGGCAGACGGGUGAGUAACGCGUGGGAACGUACCUUUUGGUUCGGAACAACUCCGGGAAACUGGAGCUAAUACCGGAUAAGCCCUAACGGGGAAAGAUUUAUCGCCGAAAGAUCGGCCCGCGUCUGAUUAGCUAGUUGGUGAGGUAACGGCUCACCAAGGCGACGAUCAGUAGCUGGUCUGAGAGGAUGAUCAGCCACACUGGGACUGAGACACGGCCCAGACUCCUACGGGAGGCAGCAGUGGGGAAUAUUGGACAAUGGGCGCAAGCCUGAUCCAGCCAUGCCGCGUGAGUGAUGAAGGCCUUAGGGUUGUAAAGCUCUUUUGUCCGGGAAGAUAAUGACUGUACCGGAAGAAUAAGCCCCGGCUAACUUCGUG
This 431-nucleotide ribosomal RNA is filed under the name uncultured bacterium. RNAcentral describes it as "partial 16S ribosomal RNA". It matches the Rfam family "Bacterial small subunit ribosomal RNA", at positions 29 to 507 of the family's 1533-position model. The record is from RNAcentral.